GGUUUAUUGGCAAUUCAAAAAACAUUCCAUUUUUUAUUUUUUUUAUUUUUUUAUUUUUCGUUCAUUUUAACGUAUUAUAUUUUAUUUGAGAAAAUAACCUAAAAACCUUUCAAUCUUUAUCCGAAAUUUCAACUACACACUCAAACUUUAUGAGAUCUUAUUCCAAAUUACACAGUAAUGCAUUCUCUAGCGCCGCCUUUCUCAUUCCACCUCCUCCGAUCCCCGAAUUCCCCCCACCAAAAAACUCCACUCUAACAUUCGCCAUACUCCUAAAAAACAUAUCCCCACCUUUACUCAUCCUCUCAUUACUACUCUCCCUUGUUGCUGCUGUCACUGCCUCUAAUAAAGAAGACUCAAACAACUCUGCAUAAAUAUCAUCAGCAUAAAUCGAUCGAGGAAGUACAGAUAAAAAGGAGGAGAAUGGAAAGGAAAAGGAAAAAAAAAGAAAAAAAAGAUAUAUUAAAGAAAAAUAAUUACUUUCUUAUAAAAAAAUAUAAUAUUACGUGAAAAUUACGUGAUAAGUGCGUGU
This 529-nucleotide long non-coding RNA is filed under the name Capsicum annuum. RNAcentral describes it as "long non-coding RNA (CANN_LNC003319)". Lineage: Eukaryota; Viridiplantae; Streptophyta; Magnoliopsida; Solanales; Solanaceae. The record is from RNAcentral.